AAGACUUGUCAAAAGUAUUUUGUCGUUGGCCUGUGAAAUUACUUAACACGACUUGUGAAUCGCUUUUGUAUUCGACUCUCAGCCGUCGUAUCUAAGACAGCUGCCAGAGAUGUCACAUGUCGCUGUGUGGUCAGUACAUGAGCAAUUGGUUCUACAUAUUAAGAAGAUUCAAAGUGUUCAUAGGUGCCUCUGAUACAAGACCACUGCCAGGCAGCCUUGAACAGAGUUGUCUAUAAGGGAGACGCAGUACCUGGUGUCACGUAACGACAUCCCACACGGAGCAACUGUAAGUAACCGAACAUCUAAAACAUAUUCCUCGGAUUUUUGAAAAAAAUAGCAUUUACUGUGCUCUCUGUAAAAACUGGAAAUUAAUUACUGUUUAGAUACAGAGAAGGCUGACUGUUACCUCGAAUAGUAAACUCCAACAAUUUAUUUAUAUAUAUAUACUGUGUGAUAGUUAACGGUUGGAAAGAAGAACAGUUUACUUCUAGUAAACCCCCACCUGCGGCUGCUUAAUGAAUCCAACUUCUAUACAUAAAUUGUCAUCUCCUGAAUCAUGUGUCGUAUAAUGAUAUAACAUGUCAAGUAUAUUCAGUGGUAUAUGUGGAAACCAUCGGCAAAAUAUGUUGCGAAUAGAGGUAGUUGUAAACAACUAAAAAAAAUAAAUAAAUAAAACGUCAUGUCUGAGGCUACAAUUUUAAUACAUGACCUGUGGAAAUGUAGAAAGCGUAAAAAAAUUUUCUUUCGGCAUUUUGUAGGGAGUGUCUGCGAGAAAAAUAUUCGUGAAGAUUUCAAAUUAUACAUGAGGAUUGUUGGAAGUCCCCAGGUAUUAUGAUAUUAUAAAUACUGAAUAAUUGUGGUCUGGGUAAUUUAUGCGUUGUGAUUUACCUCACCUCAACAUACAUUAACAUUUUAUAGCUUUACUACCUGACUUACACUUCUUAUAAGUAGAUUAUGACAGCAUUUUAAAUUUUUCAAAUUGGUCAAAAAAUUUUAGUUGCCUUGGAAACCGAUAGAGAGGCUAUUCGCAACUGGGACUGUGCCCCGGGUAACACGGAUAUUGUAAUAAUAACGAACGACAAUCAACCAGCACAUGAGUGAAAUUAUGUAGCCUGAAUUAGGUGUAAAACUUACUGGUGUCCGAAACACGUUCAUUACGGUGGAAGCCGUUUCCUUCCAAAAUUCUUGUUUUUCGGAUUUAAGAUUAUUCUUGUUAGGAAUCUGAAACGUAAAAUUAAAAGAAACGGAUCAACAGGAAAACACUUUGCUACGAGUAUCCAUGCGACACGCAGCAUAUUAAAAUGAAAGUCAGGAAUAAUCAGGAAUUAUCUAAUAAAGCCGUCCAGCUGUAUUCCUGAGGAACAGAUUGUUAAGCAAGAGACCAGCAAUCAGGAAAUGGAAACAAAUAAGGAGCCUUGUUCCUACUGUUCUUUUUAUUUAUAUAUGUGAUUCCACAUCGGAUUUUCAAUGUUUUGCAGAGAUCAGUGACGGACAAGAUGUCAUUCAACUAUGCGCCAGAUACCUUCGGUGGCCUACAGAUCAAGCAUAUGAGCCUAAUAGGAAGGGGACAGGCACUGUUCUUGGAUGUAAGCUUGCACAGCCUUCAUCAAGUGUGCCUGGUCAUUGUCUGGACUUGUGGAACUCCUGUGUGUGGACAGAAUAUCGUGUAGUAAAAUCUCAGCUGAUCAUACCGUCUUCAGUAGUGGAGCGAGGGGCUUGUUGUAACAGGGAUGUUUUUGCUGGUCUUCUCGUUCUGCCCUUGCUGGCGGAGGGUGCAUCCUCAGACAGUGUGGGCUGUAUACGCCCGCUGCCUCCAUGGAGAUAUUCUGCAUGACAAUCACGAAAUGGCAUUCAUCUUCACCACUGCCGAGAAUCCCAGUGACGACCUGGUCAACCAGAUACGGACUGAGGUCGACGCUCGCCCUGAAAUCGACAUAUCCAAAUUCCAGAAAGUCAGUUUUUAAC
Schistocerca nitens (vagrant locust) is the source of this 1965-nucleotide long non-coding RNA. RefSeq lists it as uncharacterized. The record is from RefSeq and is a predicted model, not a curated record. The transcript is spliced from 3 exons. NCBI's taxonomy places the organism in Eukaryota, Metazoa, Arthropoda, Insecta, Orthoptera, Acrididae.